AACGAACGCUGGCGGCAGGCUUAACACAUGCAAGUCGAACGGUUGUAGCAAUACAGCAGUGGCAGACGGGUGAGUAACACGUGGGAACCUUCCUAGGGGUACGGAACAACUCAGGGAAACUUGAGCUAAUACCGUAUACGUCCGUGAGGAGAAAGAUUUAUCGCCCUUAGACGGGCCCGCGUCGGAUUAGCUAGUUGGUGGGGUAACGGCCUACCAAGGCGACGAUCCGUAGCUGAUCUUAGAGGAUGAUCAGCCGCACUGGGACUGAGAUACGGCCCAGACUCCUACGGGAGGCAGCAGUGGGGAAUCUUGGACAAUGGGCGCAAGCCUGAUCCAGCCAUGCCGCGUGAGUGAAGAAGGUCUUCGGAUUGUAAAGCUCUUUUGCCAGGGACGAUAAUGACGGUACCUGGAGAAUAAGCCCCGGCAAACUUCGUGCCAGCCGCCGCGGUAA
This 451-nucleotide ribosomal RNA is filed under the name uncultured bacterium. Its description in RNAcentral is "partial 16S ribosomal RNA". It matches the Rfam family "Bacterial small subunit ribosomal RNA", at positions 29 to 523 of the family's 1533-position model. The record is from RNAcentral.